This 924-nucleotide small RNA is filed under the name Pongo abelii (Sumatran orangutan). RNAcentral describes it as "processed transcript". Lineage: Eukaryota; Metazoa; Chordata; Mammalia; Primates; Hominidae. The record is from RNAcentral.
CGGGGCUCCUGCAGGCGGGGCGCUGUGCGGGCCGCGAUCCGGUACGUGGGCCUCCGGGCUGUCCCCUCCGGGGGCGGCGAUCCUCCCUCCGGAGCCCCCCGCAACCCUCCCGGAAGUGGGCAUUUGCAGGACCAGGGAUGCUGCACUGCUCUCCCAUGAGCCAGUCACCAAGUCUGUCUGCUGCAAGCCCUUUCUGAACCUCUGGCUGUCUGGAUGCUCCACUGUGCUCCUUGCCAAGAUGAAGUGCGUCUUGGUGGCCACUGAGGGUGCAGAGGUCCUCUUCUACUGGACAGAUGAGGAGUUUGAAGAGAGUCUUCGGCUGAAGUUCAGGCAGUCAGAGAAUGAGGAAGAGGUCGGCCUCUUGAUGCUCUGAGCUCGGUGACUCCACCCCCCACACCCCACCAGUUCCUCUCUGGACUAAAUGAGGGCAAGAAGAAGUCGAAUUUUAAUCACGUAACAGAAGAACUUGGAGCUAUCAGUUUCUGUAACCUAAAAAGUUUAACAAGCCUGGGCAUGGUGGCUCACGCCUGUAAUCACAACACUUUGGGAAGCCAAGGUGGGCCAAUUGCUUGAGCUCAGGGAUUUGAGACCAGUCUGGGCAGCAUGGCGAAACCCUGUCUCUACAAAAAAAAUACAAAAAUUAGCCAGGUGUGGUGGUGCGUGCCUAUAGUCCCAGCUACUUGGGAGGUUGAGGUGGGAGGAUCACUUGAGUCCAGGUGGUAGAGGCUGCAGUGAGCCGAGAUUGUGCCCGUGCAUUCCAACCUGGGCGACAGAGCAAAAAAAAAAAAAAAAGUUUAACGUAAGCUGAACACGUUAAUUUUUUAAUAGCUAUAUUAAGGUAUGAUUAACAUACCAUAAAUUGCACAUAUUUAAAGUGCACAAUUUGAUAAGCUUUGAUAUGUAUAUACCUAUGAUUCUAUCACA